Molecule: ribosomal RNA, 3325 nt
Filed under: Parcubacteria group bacterium GW2011_GWA2_42_14
Lineage: Bacteria
Source: RNAcentral
AUGAGCGUACCAGUAGAAUAAGGAGCUGCAAACUUCGUGCCAGCAGCCGCGGUAAUACGAAGGCUCCAAGCGUUAUCCGGAUUUAUUGGGCGUAAAGGGUCUCCAGGCGGUUUUGUUAGUCCGCUGUUAAAUCUCGACGCUUAACGUCGAGGCCGCAGUGGAAACGGCAAAACUAGAGGCGGGUAGAGGCAUAUGGAACUCACGGUGUAGGGGUGAAAUCCGUUGAUAUCGUGGGGAACACCAAAGGCGAAGGCAAUAUGCUGGGCCUGUCCUGACGCUCAUGAGACGAAAGCGUGGGGAGCGAAUAGGAUUGACAGAAUGCUCGCAAUUGUGCCAAAGAUUUUUCCAGCUGCGGUUUGGACAAAACUUCCUCGCACACGUCGCAAUAUGAUUAAGAGAAAUUUGAACUCAACCAAUUUUAAUUUUGCUCGGCAAAAUUAAAAAUUGGGAUUCAAACAGCAAAUUUCUCUUAUAUUGCUUGUGUGCUCGUUGUUUUGUUUGCCAAACCUCCGCAAUGGAAAAAUUUCGGCACCAAUUGCUCGUUGAGAGAUUUAGAAGAAAAAAAGAAAGGAUAAAGAAGUGAAAAAGGAUACGGCGCUUUAUGAUUAUUUGUGUGAUUUAGCCAGGAAGAAUGGUGUAUCGGAAGAAUGGGUUAAGGAAGUUGCUAGCCGGAUAUAUGGGAAAUUGAUGAGCGACUUGGAAGUGGUAAUUAAAAAUUUUAAAGAAGUAGGAAGAAACCGAAAGUAAUACAAACAGAAGAAAUUUAAUCUCUUAAGCGAACGUAAGGGUAUUACGCGAGCAACUAGUCCAGUUAGUUACAUGUUUCAUGUUACAUGUCUCAUGUCGCUAAUUUAAACUUGGCUAUAUCGGGGAAACUCCUCUAGCACUUCUGUGCUAGCGCAGAAAUACGCAGAACAAACGCAGAACAACGCAGAAUUAAUUUCUGCGACUGUCUGCGUAAUGUCUGCGAAAAUCUGCGCUGUUCGCAAGGCGAACAGAGGACAAUCCCGAGGGAAGGCUCUGAUUUUGAAUCGGAGAACCCGUAGAGACUACACGCCGAGCCGAGCACCUUUUGAAAAAAGGUGCUUGGAUGAUAUAGUCCGACCUCGGCAGUAAUGCCGAGAGACAGGCAGAAAUGACCUGUCCACUAAACAACAAAAAGAAAAAAAGAAAGAAGAAAAAAUGAAGACAGUAAAAGUGGUUAAAGGAAGAAGGUUGGUAAAGAUGACCAAAAAAGAAUUGCGGAGCUUAAUAGAAACACGGAGAGGUUAAUAAGAUUGAUUUCACGGUGGCAGAAGAUUUCGGAACGGGAAAAAUCAAAAAGAAGGAAAAAGUGAUAUGCCAAUAUAUUGGGCGAUUGCUACAUCUUCGAAAUAUCCGGAUGUUUAUGUAAAGAAAAUUGAAGCGAUAGAUGAUGCGGAUGCUACUGAACAAGCAAAAAAGUGGCAUCGUGAAGAUAUUGGUCCUCGUUAUGAAUAUGUUGUGGCGAAAGAAAUUGAUAUGCCAAAGCCAUCUUGCUGAAAGAAUUAAGAAAGUCGUCCGUGCGGCGACAGAAAAAACCAUAAAGAGUAGAAUAGUAAAAUUAUAAAAAAUGGGCGGGUGGAAAACCGCUCGCCCAGAAUUUUCUUUUUGUCAGUUUUCUAACCAAUAACUAACUACCAACAAGUAACAAUACGUGUUGUGGGUUGUGGGUUGUCAGUUGUAGGUUAGUAUAGUAACAAUAGUGUAGAUACCCUAGUAGUCCACGCCCUAAACGAUGCAGACUCGCUAUCGGAAGUAUCGACCCUUUCGGUGGCCAAGCUUACGCGUUAAGUCUGCCGCCUGGGAAGUACGGCCGCAAGGCUAAAACUCAAAGGAAUAGACGGGAGUUCGCACAAGCGGUGGUUCAUGCGGUUCAAUUCGAUGACAACCGAGGAACCUCACCAGGGCUUGAAAUGCUGAAAAAAGUUCCGGGAAACCGGAAUGUACCACAAGGAUGUCAGCACAGGUGCUGCACGGUCCUCGUCAGUUCGUGGUGUAAACUGUUCCCUUAAGUGGGGUAACGAACGCAACCCUCAUCCUAUGUUAUAUGUGUCAUAGGAAACUGCCUCUUUAUAAGGGGAGGAAGGUGGGGAUGACGCGAGAUCAGCGUGGCCCUCUGAUGCCCUGGGCUACACGCAUGAAACAAUGGCGCCGACAAAGCGUAGCAAAGCCGUAAGGCGGAGCCAAUCGCACCAAACGGCGCCUCAGUUCAGAUUGGGGUCUGCAACUCGACCCCAUGAAGAAGGAAUCGCUAGUAAACGCCGAUCAGCUAUGCGGCGUUGAAUACGUUCUCGAACUUUGUACUCACCGCCGAGUAAUAAGUGCCCGGCAGCUUAGUUAACUAGCAGGUUAAAAUCCUGCCCCUCGUUCAAAAACGGGGCGUAGCCAAAAAAAUUUAGCAGUCCAACUCCGUAAGGAUGUGGAUAGAGGGCUUGAGGCAAACGACAGCCUAUAGUAUAAUCAAAAUAUUGAACGACUGCGGCGGGCGGUCAGCAGGAAGUUUAAUUAAGUAUUUGGUUAUAGGAUGCCGAGAAAAGUUAAUUAAGUGACCCGGGGAGAUCCUAGACAGUCCGAGUCUUAUUAUCUGUUUAGGAAGUCAGCAGGAGUCGUAGUAUCCCGCUUUUAGCGGGAGAAGGACCCUACCAAAAAUAUGCUAUCACCAGAUUAUAUUGUUGGAUUAACUGACGGAGAAGGCAGUUUUACUGCUUAUAUUAGGCCACCUAAGAAAGAGCAUGGUUCUAAGAGUUACAGAAUUGAAUGUCAUUAUUACAUUAAAUUACGUGAUGACGACCGAUUGCUUUUAGAAAAUGUUAAGAAAUUCUUUCGAGUGGGAAGAGUUUCAUUUCAGAGGGAAAAUAGGCCUAACCAUCACCACGCAUAUCGUUUUGAAGUUACUAAUUUGAAUGACUUGCAAAGUGUGAUAAUUCCUUUCUUUGAAAAACACAAACUUCAAAGUAAAAGGAUUACAGAUUUUGAGUUGUUUAAGAAAAUUCUUCGAGCGGUAUUAAGAAAAGAACACCAGAAUAAAGAUGGUUUAAAAGAAAUCCAACAGUGGAAAUCAAAGAUGCAUAAAUAUUUGGGCUCGCUGAAUACGGGAAAUCCGUACGUUCAGUCUCGAUAUGGAAAGUCGAGGUCCCGCUAAAAGCGGGAUGGGAACGGGAAAUAGACUCAAUUAUCCCAAUCCGUCACGUCAAGGGAGCCGGGAGUAGCCGAAACUUGGGGCAACCCAAACUAAGCUAAGCUCGGUGACAGGGACGAAGUCGUAACAAGGCAUCGGUAGCGGAAGCUGUCGAUGGAACAUUUC